UGCGUAGGCGGUUAUAUUAGUCGGGUGUAAAAUCCUUGGGCUCAACCCAAGGCUCGCAUUCGAAACGGUAUAACUAGAAGAAGUCAGAGGUUUAGAGAACUCUCGGUGUAGGGGUGAAAUCCGUUGAUAUCGAGGAGAAUACCAAAUGCGAAGGCACUAAACUGGGGCUUUCUUGACGCUGAGGCACGAAAGCGUGGGUAGCGAACG
RNAcentral lists this ribosomal RNA (207 nucleotides) under uncultured bacterium. Its description in RNAcentral is "partial 16S ribosomal RNA". It matches the Rfam family "Bacterial small subunit ribosomal RNA", at positions 568 to 774 of the family's 1533-position model. The record is from RNAcentral.